GGUCAUUGAGUCCAAAUUCAAAUAUUUUUUUUCAACUAUUCUUAAUUAUUAUUUUUUUCUUUUCUUAAUAUAAUUUAAGCAUUCAUAAAAAUAAUUGAAUUUUUUUAUUGAAAAAUAUAAAUCUUUAUUAAAAGUAUAUAAUUUUUUAAUUAAAAUAUUAACCCCAUGAUAAAAUUAAUUUAUCAGAGUUAUACCAACUUAAUUCAUUAAAAAAAUAAAGAUUAAUUUUUUAAACAUAAAUAGUCAUUUAAAAUGAAAUACAAUAAAUAAAUAUAAAAAGUUUAAGUCUUUUAUAAAAUAAAAUACAAAUAUAUGAAAAUAUGAUAUUUACUAAAUAUUUUUCAAUUGAAAAAAAAAACAAAAAUAAAUUCGCGCUUUGAAAACGCGGGUCAAAAUCUAGUUUUUUCUCAUUGUAGAAAGCUCUCUAUAGAUUCCAAUUCCUGGCUGAACAAACUUCAGUUACGUUUUGAUAGAGAGCGGAAGCUAAAUAAAAGGAUAGAAGUUGGGAAUACUCUUUUAUUUUUAUAUUUUUGGGUCAAAAGUUGGGAAUACUCUUCCCCGAGUUUUCGUGCUUAGAAAGCUCGUUAUUCUUCC
This 594-nucleotide long non-coding RNA is filed under the name Brassica rapa (field mustard). RNAcentral's name for it is "long non-coding RNA (BRAP_LNC007668)". The record is from RNAcentral. Lineage: Eukaryota; Viridiplantae; Streptophyta; Magnoliopsida; Brassicales; Brassicaceae.